This 483-nucleotide ribosomal RNA is filed under the name Triticum aestivum (bread wheat). Its description in RNAcentral is "partial small subunit ribosomal RNA". The record is from RNAcentral. Lineage: Eukaryota; Viridiplantae; Streptophyta; Magnoliopsida; Poales; Poaceae.
UUGUCUCCUGCGGAUGCCACAGAGUACAGGAGCAUUGUUGGUGGACUUCAGUACUUGACGAUCACGAGACCAGAUAUCUCUUAUGCUGUUAACAGGGUUUGUCAGUAUCUUCAGACUCUCAGAGAUACUCAUUGGGCUGCUGUUAAACGCAUUCUUCGUUAUGUUCAGUUCACCCUGACAUUUGGUAUGCAUAUUCGGCCGACUUCCUCUCGGGUCCUUUCAGCCUUCUCUGAUGCAGAUUGGGCUGGUAGCCCAGAUGACAGGCGAUCCACGGGGGGUUAUGCAGUAUUCUUUGGCCCUAAUUUGAUCGCCUGGAGUGCUCGGAAACAGGCUACUGUGUCACGUAGCAGUACUGAAGCUGAGUACAAGGCUGUGGCUAAUGCUACUGCAGAGAUUAUUUGGGUGCAGUCUUUGCUUCAGGAGUUGGGUUUGUCUCAACCACAGCCUCCUAUUCUUUGGUAUGAUAACAUCGGUGCUACAUAA